This 489-nucleotide ribosomal RNA is filed under the name uncultured bacterium. RNAcentral describes it as "partial 16S ribosomal RNA". It matches the Rfam family "Bacterial small subunit ribosomal RNA", at positions 30 to 507 of the family's 1533-position model. The record is from RNAcentral.
UUGCACGCUGGCGGCAGGCCUAACACAUGCAAGUCGAACGGUAACAGGAAGAAGCUUGCUUCUUUGCUGACGAGUGGCGGACGGGUGAGUAAUGUCUGGGAAACUGCCUGAUGGAGGGGGAUAACUACUGGAAACGGUAGCUAAUACCGCAUAACGUCGCAAGACCAAAGAGGGGGACCUUCGGGCCUCUUGCCAUCGGAUGUGCCCAGAUGGGAUUAGCUAGUAGGUGGGGUAACGGCUCACCUAGGCGACGAUCCCUAGCUGGUCUGAGAGGAUGACCAGCCACACUGGAACUGAGACACGGUCCAGACUCCUACGGGAGGCAGCAGUGGGGAAUAUUGCACAAUGGGCGCAAGCCUGAUGCAGCCAUGCCGCGUGUAUGAAGAAGGCCUUCGGGUUGUAAAGUACUUUCAGCGGGGAGGAAGGGAGUAAAGUUAAUACCUUUACUCAUUGACGUUACCCGCAGAAGAAGCACCGGCUAACUCCGUG